This 86-nucleotide transfer RNA is filed under the name Xenopus laevis (African clawed frog). It matches the Rfam family "tRNA". From Rfam's summary of the family: Transfer RNA (tRNA) molecules are approximately 80 nucleotides in length. Their secondary structure includes four short double-helical elements and three loops (D, anti-codon, and T loops). Further hydrogen bonds mediate the characteristic L-shaped molecular structure. tRNAs have two regions of fundamental functional importance: the anti-codon, which is responsible for specific mRNA codon recognition, and the 3' end, to which the tRNAs corresponding amino acid is attached (by aminoacyl-tRNA synthetases). tRNAs cope with the degeneracy of the genetic code in two manners: having more than one tRNA (with a specific anti-codon) for a particular amino acid; and 'wobble' base-pairing, i.e. permitting non-standard base-pairing at the 3rd anti-codon position. The record is from Rfam by way of RNAcentral. Lineage: Eukaryota; Metazoa; Chordata; Amphibia; Anura; Pipidae.
GACUCUGUGGCGCAAUGGAUAGCACAUUGGACGUCUAGGUGUAUGAAGAUAUUCAAAGGUUGUGGGUUCGAAUCCCACCAGGGUCG